GACGAACGCUGGCGGCGUGCCUAACACAUGCAAGUCGAACGGAAAGGCCCUGCUUUUGUGGGGUACUCGAUUGCCGAACGCGUGAGUAACACGUGAGUAACCUGCCCUUGUCUUUCGGAUAACUUCACGAAACUGGGGCUAAUACCCGAUAGGAGCUCCUGCUGCGUGUGGGGGGUUGGAAAGUUUCGGCGGUUGGGGAUGGACUGGCGGCUUAGCAGCUGGUUGGUGGGGUAGUGGCUGACCAAGGGUUCGACGGGUAGCCGGCAUGAGAGGGUGGCCGGCGACAUGGGGACUGAGAGAGGGACCAGACUCCUACGGGGGGCAGCGGGGGGGAAUAUGGCACAAUGGGCGGAAGCCUGAUGCAGAAGCGCCGGGUGCGGGAUGACGGCCUUCGGGUUGUAAACCGCUUUCGCCUGUGACGAAGCGGGAGUGACGGUAAUGGGUAAAGAAGCACCGGCUAACUACGUG
This 468-nucleotide ribosomal RNA is filed under the name uncultured bacterium. Its description in RNAcentral is "partial 16S ribosomal RNA". It matches the Rfam family "Bacterial small subunit ribosomal RNA", at positions 28 to 507 of the family's 1533-position model. The record is from RNAcentral.